This 146-nucleotide unclassified non-coding RNA is filed under the name uncultured Helotiaceae. RNAcentral describes it as "sequence contains ITS2". RNAcentral also lists the same sequence under 1 other name. Lineage: Eukaryota; Fungi; Ascomycota; Leotiomycetes; Helotiales; Helotiaceae. The record is from RNAcentral.
CACCCCUCAAGCUCUGCUUGGUUUUGGGCCGCGCCGGCAACGGCGGGCCUCGAAAAUAGUGGCGACGCCAUCGUGCUCUCAGCGUAGUAAUUCUUCUCGCUGUUGGGUCCCGGUGGUCGUCCGCCAGCAACCCCCAACUUUCUUAA